Long non-coding RNA from Archocentrus centrarchus (flier cichlid), 811 nucleotides. RefSeq lists it as uncharacterized. Lineage: Eukaryota; Metazoa; Chordata; Actinopteri; Cichliformes; Cichlidae. The transcript has 4 exons. The record is from RefSeq and is a predicted model, not a curated record.
UAGCUGCUUAAACAACACACUGCGCCAGGGGAAGAAACUCAGACAUCGCAGCCUCGCAAUCUACCGCCUUAAUUCCCAGGCGAGGAGGUGGUUUGCAGGCUUUGUAAGAAAGCGGAUAGCUCGACAUCUAACCCUUCCCAUCAUCAACGAACGAGUAUGAGGAAUAUGAAAAGUUUCGGGAACCCGCUGUCCAAGACAAACAAUCAGCUAAGGCGAAUUGACAUCGAUUCUGAGAGUGAGGAUGAGGAAAGACAACCCAGGAAAAACCUUCCAAAACCACCUGCUCCCCCUAAACCACCUGCGGUGCCCACCAUCAGAAGUCACCAAGCAGCGUCAUCCACCACCACCAGCCACUCUCAGAACUCAAACACAGCUACCUUCGCCACCCGCCAAUUAGCAGCUCUGAACCUGACGCUUGAGUCUGGAGCAAUCAGAAAAAAUUGGUGCAUCACCUGGCAGCCACUGGAGGAAGGGAGCUGAAGGUUGCAGAACAGUACAGCUUCCAUGGACAGAAGGACAAAAAAAGCACUUGGUGGCGGUGAUAUUUAGGGCUGUUGAAAGAACCAAGGGUCAGAUACUCUGACAGAUACUGAGAUCCAGGCUGUGGUGGGAGAUUGGCUGAAACAUGCCAAGUGUCGUAAAGACAAAGUUGGCCAAUCCAGAACGUGACAGGUCUGAUGAGGAGGAGGAACCCUAAAAUCAGACUGUGCAGCAUUGCUGGUUCGAACUGUUUCUCUGUACACACACAACAGUCUUCUACUCAGUUUACUGGUGGUCCAAAAAUGUUGUUUAUUCAUCCAAGAAAAAGUGC